RNAcentral lists this ribosomal RNA (447 nucleotides) under Francisella tularensis. RNAcentral describes it as "partial 23S ribosomal RNA". It matches the Rfam family "Bacterial large subunit ribosomal RNA", at positions 312 to 756 of the family's 2925-position model. Lineage: Bacteria; Pseudomonadati; Pseudomonadota; Gammaproteobacteria; Thiotrichales; Francisellaceae. The record is from RNAcentral.
AUGAUUUAGCUGUAAUUAUAGUAGAACAAGUUGGGAAGCUUGACGAUAGAGGGUGAUAGUCCCGUAUACGAAAUAAUCACAGUGGAACUAAGCAUACGAACAAGUAGGACGGGGCACGUGGAACCUUGUCUGAAUAUGGGGGGACCAUCCUCCAAGGCUAAAUACUCCUGAAUGACCGAUAGUGAACUAGUACCGUGAGGGAAAGGUGAAAAGAACCCUUAUAAAGGGAGUGAAAUAGAAUCUGAAACCGCUUGCAUACAAGCAGUAGGAGCAUGAUUUAGUCAUGUGACUGCGUACCUUUUGUAUAAUGGGUCAGCGAGUUAUUUUUAGUGGCGAGGAUAACUGAAUAAGGGAUCCGUAGCGAAAGCGAGUUUUAAUAGGGCGACUAGUCGCUAGGAGUAGACCCGAAACCGGCGCGAUCUAUCCAUGGCCAGGUUGAAGAUUAGG